This 371-nucleotide long non-coding RNA is filed under the name Vigna radiata. Its description in RNAcentral is "long non-coding RNA (VRAD_LNC013618)". Lineage: Eukaryota; Viridiplantae; Streptophyta; Magnoliopsida; Fabales; Fabaceae. The record is from RNAcentral.
CUAGCGAUAUCUGCAUCACGCUCAUGACUUUCUGCCUCCAAGAGUUGUGCUAAUUGGUACAUUAAAAUUCUAGUUUCGUAGUUAUCUUCAGUUUUGACACUAACUCUACCAGCGCGUCAUCUUGCUGAAACAAACACUUCAAUGAUACUGUAUAAAUUUUUUAAGUAUGUCCCAUUCAUCAUUGUUGAUGUGCUCGAAUAUUAUCUCUUCCGCAUCUCGAUUGUAAUGAAUUGGGUAAUUCAUAUUGUUAAGUAAAUGUUUCGGGUUUCCUCGAUGAUGGAGCUUGGGUAUCCUGUAUGCACCCAUCAAUGGCUGCCAUGGUCGUCAAUGGCUUGGACAUAAAUAGAGAGGAGAAGAAAGGGGUGGGCCCG